GGGUUCAGUUUUAAUAAACGACGUUUAAACGUGAAGAAAUUUGCUUUUUCUGUAUAGACCAUAGUCUAAUUAAAAUGAAAUUUUGUACACACGUGUAGCAGGGGAAUUACAAGCUCGUUUAUAAACUCAACAUAAAAAAAAAAGCACUUUUCUGUUGACAUUCCUGCGUUGCUCUAUUUGGAGGCCUUUUGUGUACUUAAAACAUUUAGUAACAGUAACUGAGCACAUUAAACACACAAGAGCAUGUGUGCCUGAUACAAACACACACACAAAUCCCUGACUGCUCACUGGCUGACUCUGGAUUCAUAAGCGUCAACAAUCACAUCCAUACAGAUCACCAAGCUGGAAUACAACCUGAGUUAUCAAGCGCAUCUACUCUCUCCUAUCACAGUGCUAAUAAAAAGCGGCUGUACUUCA
This is a long non-coding RNA of Puntigrus tetrazona (Sumatra barb), 417 nucleotides long. RefSeq lists it as uncharacterized. NCBI's taxonomy places the organism in Eukaryota, Metazoa, Chordata, Actinopteri, Cypriniformes, Cyprinidae. The transcript has 2 exons. The record is from RefSeq and is a predicted model, not a curated record.